AACCAUAGAAACCUGCGGAGUACCUGCGGAGGGAUCAUUACCGAGUUUACAACUCCCAAACCCCUGUGAACAUACCAAUUGUUGCCUCGGCGGAUCAGCCCGCUCCCGGUAAAACGGGACGGCCCGCCAGAGGACCCCUAAACUCUGUUUCUAUAUGUAACUUCUGAGUAAAACCAUAAAUAAAUCAAAACUUUCAGCAACGGAUCU
Molecule: unclassified non-coding RNA, 207 nt
Filed under: soil metagenome
Description: partial contains 5.8S ribosomal RNA, internal transcribed spacer 2, and large subunit ribosomal RNA
Source: RNAcentral